GAUCAUGGCUCAGAGUGAACGCUGGCGGCAGGCCUAAUACAUGCAAGUCGAACGGCAGCACAGCAGAGCUUGCUCGUGUGGGUGACGAGUGGCGGACGGGUGAGGAAUACGUGGGAAUCUGCCCAGUCGUGGGGGAUAACGUAGGGAAACUUACGCUAAUACCGCAUGCGCCCUUCGGGGAAAACCGGGGACCUUCGGGCCUGGCGCGAUUGGAUGAGCCCACGUCGGAUUAGCUAGUUGGCGGGGUAAAGGCCCACCAAGGCGACGAUCCGUAGCUGGUCUGAGAGGAUGAUCAGCCACACUGGAACUGAGACACGGUCCAGACUCCUACGGGAGGCAGCAGUAGGGAAUAUUGGACAAUGGGCGCAAGCCUGAUCCAGCCAUGCCGCGUGAGUGAAGAAGGCCCUCGGGUUGUAAAGCUCUUUUGUCCGGAAAGAAAAGCGCCGGGUUAAUACCCUGGUGUCCUGACGGUACCGGAAGAAUAAGCACCGGCUAACUUCGUG
RNAcentral lists this ribosomal RNA (503 nucleotides) under uncultured bacterium. Its description in RNAcentral is "bacterial SSU rRNA". It matches the Rfam family "Bacterial small subunit ribosomal RNA", at positions 15 to 507 of the family's 1533-position model. The record is from RNAcentral.